GACGAACGCUGGCGGCGUGCUUAACACAUGCAAGUCGAACGGUGAAGCGCCUUCCUUUUUGGUGGGUGUGGAUGAGUGGCGAACGGGUGAGUAACACGUGAGUAACCUGCCCCCUUCUUCUGGAUAACCGCAUGAAAGUGUGGCUAAUACGGGAUAUUCUGGGUCUGUCGCAUGAUGGGUCUGGGAAAGAUAUUGUUUCGGUGGGGGAUGGGCUCGCGGCCUAUCAGCUUGUUGGUGGGGGAUGGCCUACCAAGGCGGUGACGGGUAGCCGGCCUGAGAGGGUGGACGGUCACACUGGGACUGAGACACGGCCCAGACUCCUACGGGAGGCAGCAGUGGGGAAUAUUGCACAAUGGGCGCAAGCCUGAUGCAGCGACGCCGCGUGAGGGAUGGAGGCCUUCGGGUUGUGAACCUCUUUCGCCAGUGAAGCAGGCCUGCCUCGUUUGUGGGUGGGUUGACGGUAGCUGGAUAAGAAGCGCCGGCUAACUACGUG
This 493-nucleotide ribosomal RNA is filed under the name uncultured bacterium. RNAcentral describes it as "partial 16S ribosomal RNA". It matches the Rfam family "Bacterial small subunit ribosomal RNA", at positions 28 to 507 of the family's 1533-position model. The record is from RNAcentral.